Triticum aestivum (bread wheat) is the source of this 115-nucleotide non-coding RNA. The record is from Rfam. NCBI's taxonomy places the organism in Eukaryota, Viridiplantae, Streptophyta, Magnoliopsida, Poales, Poaceae.
CAAGUACUCCCUCCGUCCAGAAUUACUUGUCAUCAAAAUGGAUGUGUCUAGAACUAAAAUACAUCUAGAUACAUCCAUUUCAAUGACAAGUAUUUUCGGACAGAGGGAGUACAAG